RNAcentral lists this ribosomal RNA (253 nucleotides) under uncultured bacterium. RNAcentral's name for it is "partial 16S ribosomal RNA". It matches the Rfam family "Bacterial small subunit ribosomal RNA", at positions 524 to 776 of the family's 1533-position model. The record is from RNAcentral.
UACGUAGGUGGCGAGCGUUGUCCGGAUUUACUGGGCGUAAAGAGCGCGCAGGCGGUCGUUCAAGUCGCGUGUGAAAGCCCCCGGCUCAACUGGGGAGGGUCACGCGAUACUGAUCGACUCGAAGGCAGGAGAGGGAAGUGGAAUUCCCGGUGUAGUGGUGAAAUGCGUAGAUAUCGGGAGGAACACCUGUGGCGAAAGCGGCGCACUGGACCACAUCUGACGCUGAGGCGCGAAAGCUAGGGGAGCAAACAGG